GUUAUGUUCUUGAAACUUAAAGAAUUUGGCGGUAUCUCAUUCCGUCCAGAGGAAUCUGUCCCGUUAUCGAUAGUCCGCGUUGGACCUUACUUAUUUGAUUUUGGUUUGUAUACCGCCGUUUAUUGAUUAUCUUUUUAGAGGUUACUUAAUUUUCUGGUUUCUUUAUUUUGAUGUAUUUCAGGUCAAGGUGCAGCUUGUUUUUAAGUGGAAUGAUGGAUUACAUUGUUAUUUGUUUAUGGAUUGUUGAUUUUAAUAUUGGCAUGAAAUUGGAUUUGGUUGUAAUAAUUUGUAGAUUGUUAUUAUGAUAAUUGGUUCUGAGAUAUGCACACAUCGCCCGUCGCU
RNAcentral lists this ribosomal RNA (342 nucleotides) under Nasutitermes sp. 1 RCD-2018. RNAcentral's name for it is "partial 12S ribosomal RNA". The record is from RNAcentral. Lineage: Eukaryota; Metazoa; Arthropoda; Insecta; Blattodea; Termitidae.